RNAcentral lists this long non-coding RNA (762 nucleotides) under Mytilus galloprovincialis (Mediterranean mussel). The record is from RNAcentral. Lineage: Eukaryota; Metazoa; Mollusca; Bivalvia; Mytilida; Mytilidae.
UUGUGCUUUUAUCUUUAAUUUUUUUUUAAUGGUGUUGGGGUUUUUUUGUGUUUUUUGGGGGAGAGGGGGAGGGGUGUGUGUGAUGAUAAGUUAAAAGAUUUUAAUGAAAAAGUUUAUUGUUUACAACGGAGUAAUUAAAUCAAGAAAGAGAAUGAUUGCGUGAAAAAUAAUUAUAUUCAUCUGAUAUGUUUACAAGCUUUGUAUAAUAUCGAGGUGUAACUCCUCAGGUACAACCAUUUUACUGACCCCUUCAAUUUCAGCACAAAUAAACCGUAUUGCAGAUGAAUAGCAACUCCCAGUUCUACGCUUUACAAGUUUGAAAAUAAACGGUUGAUCUUUUAUCCUCUAGUAAUAUAGCCCUUUCUCAACUUUAGAAUCUUGGUUAAAUGAACAACCCCAGUCAUCUGAAAUAUUUUACCUAUUUAUUGGCAAAUUACCGUUUUUUUUCUUUUCAUUUAAGAUAAUUAUUCAUUUUCUAUUUGAUUAUAACUACUAUUAUAUAUUACAGUUCUUAUCGUGGUUUCUAUGAUUCUAUCUAUUUUCAAAAUUUGUAAUUUUGUUAUUUUGUUAUGUCCUCUGAUCUGAAAACAUGAAAUCGAACCGUAUUUGUUAUUUAAAAACAAUGAAAUAUCGUUCAUACAUCAUAUGAUAUUACGAACUGCUUUCAAUUUCGAUGGUCAAGGAGGGUGAUUGGCAUAAUGAGUUCAUAUAAAGUGAUAAAAAGCCUGCGGCAAUUUUAAGAUACGCUCGUGGCGAUAUUUG